RNAcentral lists this ribosomal RNA (497 nucleotides) under uncultured bacterium. Its description in RNAcentral is "partial 16S ribosomal RNA". It matches the Rfam family "Bacterial small subunit ribosomal RNA", at positions 28 to 507 of the family's 1533-position model. The record is from RNAcentral.
GAUGAACGCUGGCGGCGUGCCUAAUACAUGCAAGUCGAGCGAACAGACGAGGAGCUUGCUCCUCUGACGUUAGCGGCGGACGGGUGAGUAACACGUGGAUAACCUACCUAUAAUACUGGGAUAACUUCGGGAAACCGGAGCUAAUACCGGAUAAUAUAUUGAACCGCAUGGUUCAAUAGUGAAAGACGGCGUUGCUGUCACUUAUAGAUGGAUCCGCGCCGCAUUAGCUAGUUGGUAAGGUAACGGCUUACCAAGGCGACGAUGCGUAGCCGACCUGAGAGGGUGAUCGGCGACACUGGAGCUGAGACACGGUCCAGACUCCUACGGGAGGCACCAGUAGGGAAUCUUACGCAAUGGGCGAGAGCCUGACGGAGCAACGCGGCGUGAGUGAUGAAGGUCUUCGGAUCGUGAAAUUCUGUUAUUAGGGAUGAACAACUGUGUAAGUAACUAUGCACGUCUUGACGGUACCUAAUCAGAAAGCCCCGGCUAACUACGUG